GACGAACGCUGGCGGCGUGCCUAAUACAUGCAAGUAGAACGCUGAAGGAGGAGCUUGCUUCACUGGAUGAGUUGCGAACGGGUGAGUAACGCGUAGGUAACCUGCCUGGCAGCGGGGGAUAACUAUUGGAAACGAUAGCUAAUACCGCAUAAGAGUAGAUGUUGCAUGACAUUUGCUUAAAAGGUGCAAUUGCAUCACUACCAGAUGGACCUGCGUUGUAUUAGCUAGUUGGUGGGGUAACGGCUCACCAAGGCGACGAUACAUAGCCGACCUGAGAGGGUGAUCGGCCACACUGGGACUGAGACACGGCCCAGACUCCUACGGGAGGCAGCAGUAGGGAAUCUUCGGCAAUGGACGAAAGUCUGACCGAGCAACGCCGCGUGAGUGAAGAAGGUUUUCGGAUCGUAAAGCUCUGUUGUAAGAGAAGAACGAGUGUGAGAGUGGAAAGUUCACACGGGACGGAUCUACCAGAAA
This 474-nucleotide ribosomal RNA is filed under the name Streptococcus mitis. Its description in RNAcentral is "bacterial SSU rRNA". It matches the Rfam family "Bacterial small subunit ribosomal RNA", at positions 28 to 489 of the family's 1533-position model. The record is from RNAcentral. Lineage: Bacteria; Bacillati; Bacillota; Bacilli; Lactobacillales; Streptococcaceae.